AGUGGGGUUAACGCCUCCGAGGGUUCGAAUCCCUUCUUCUCUACAAACACACGGCUAGGUAGCUCAGAGGAA
RNAcentral lists this transfer RNA (72 nucleotides) under Cellulophaga phage Calle_1. RNAcentral describes it as "tRNA-Asn". The record is from RNAcentral. Lineage: Duplodnaviria; Heunggongvirae; Uroviricota; Caudoviricetes; Pervagoviridae.